CCUGAGAAAUAGCUACCACUUCUACGGAGGGCAGCAGGCGCGCAAAUUGCCCAAUGUCAAAAAAAAACGAUGAGGCAGCGAAAAGAAAUAGAGCCGGCAGUGCCACUGGCAUUGCCGUUUUCAAUGGGGGAUAUUUAAACCCAUCCAAAAUCGAGUAUCAAUUGGAGGACAAGUCUGGUGCCAGCACCCGCGGUAAUUCCAGCUCCAAAAGCGUAUAUUAAUGCUGUUGCUGUUAAAGGGUUCG
This 244-nucleotide ribosomal RNA is filed under the name Trypanosoma vegrandis. RNAcentral's name for it is "partial small subunit ribosomal RNA". It matches the Rfam family "Eukaryotic small subunit ribosomal RNA", at positions 395 to 630 of the family's 1831-position model. Lineage: Eukaryota; Euglenozoa; Kinetoplastea; Trypanosomatida; Trypanosomatidae. The record is from RNAcentral.